RNAcentral lists this ribosomal RNA (564 nucleotides) under uncultured Alphaproteobacteria bacterium. Its description in RNAcentral is "partial 16S ribosomal RNA". The record is from RNAcentral. Lineage: Bacteria; Pseudomonadati; Pseudomonadota; Alphaproteobacteria.
GGGAGCUCUCCCUAUGGUCGACCUGCAGGCGGCCGCGAAUUCACUAGUGAUUCGUAUUACCGCGGCUGCUGGCACGGAGUUAGCCGGGGCUUUCUUGGUCAGGUACCGUCAUUAUCUUCCCUGCUGAAAAGGGCUUUACAACCCUAAGGCCUUCAUCACCCACUCGGUAUUGCUGGAUCAGGCUUUCGCCCAUUGUCCAAUAUUCCCCACUGCUGCCUCCCGUAGGAGUCUGGGCCGUGUCUCAGUCCCAGUGUGGCUGAUCAUUCUCUCAAACCAGCUACAGAUCAUUGGCUUGGUAGGCCAUUACCCUACCAACUACCUAAUCUGGCGCGGGCUCAUCCAUCAGCGAUAAAUCUUUCCUCCAAAGAGAAUAUACGGUAUUAGCAAUUAUUUCUAAAUGUUAUUCCGUACUGAUGGGCAGAUUCCCACGUGUUACUCACCCGUCUGCCACUAAUUUAUUUAAAGCAAGCUCUAAAUAAAUCCGUUCGACUUGCAUGUGUUAAGCAUACCGAAAGCGUUCGUUCUGAGCCAUGAUCAAACUCUAAUCGAAUUCCCGCGGCCGCC